Molecule: long non-coding RNA, 981 nt
Filed under: Parus major (Great Tit)
Lineage: Eukaryota; Metazoa; Chordata; Aves; Passeriformes; Paridae
Description: lncRNA (ENSPMJG00000006779.1)
Source: RNAcentral
AUGGUUUAUCCUUCCGGCCUGGCCAGCGUUCCNCCCAGAGGGAGGAGGAGGAGGAGGAAGGGGAGAGCUGCAGCCCCAGGAGCCGGGGCAGGAACCUGCUCUGGGCUGGGUCCAUCCAUCCCCAGAGGCUGUGGGGAGGGAGAGCUGCAGCCCCAGAGCAUGAGAAGGAGAGAGCUGCAGCCCCAGAGGAUCAGAAGGGAGAGCUGCAGCCCCAGACCAUGGGAAGGAAGGGGAGAGCUGCAGCCCCAGACCAUGAGAAGGAGGGGAGAGCUGCAGCCCCAGCCCACGGGAAGGAAGGAGAGAGCUGCAGCCCCAGCCCAUGGGAAGGAAGGAGAGAGCUGCAGCCCCAGCCCAUGGGAAGGAAGGAGAGCUGCAGCCCCAGCGGAUGCCCUAGACCAUGAAGCGAUGCUCCUUGCCGUCGUGGGCCAUGAGGAUGACGUUGCGGUUGGAGGUCCAGAUGAGCCGGGCCAGGCGCAGCGCGCCGAGCGAGCCGGGCGACGCCGGCUGCACCGGGGGCACCUGGAACGUCUUGACACAGCGCAGCUGCGGGGCCGAGUUCAGCAUCCCAAUGCUGCCCAGCAGAGAGGUGUUCAUCUGGGGGAGAGACACUGGGAGCUCAUCCCAAACCCCACAUCCUGAAUAAUCCUGAAUAACCCUGAAUAANGCUGGACCAAGGCCAGGAAUCCUCCCUGGCGCCCCGGGACCAUCCCCAUCCUCCUGCCUCUGCCCCCUCCCACCAGCACCACCCUCGCUCUUUGCUCCUGGAAUGAAGUUCCCAGGAAUUUUUCCAUGGCCAUUUUAACCCAUUUUCUGCCCGAAUCCAUUUUGUUUGAUAUAAAAUUAUAUAUAUUAUAAUCCUGUGCGGAUUCCAGGAUGACUCCCAGGCUGGAAACCGUGAGUAGCUCUGCAGGAGUGAGUAAAUGCCUGUUUAAGGUUAUUUACAUCAAUAAAUAAAUAUUUACCCCUCUUUAAGCGUCUCGA